Podarcis raffonei (Aeolian wall lizard) is the source of this 1902-nucleotide RNA transcript. It is a transcript of the gene named protein kinase AMP-activated non-catalytic subunit gamma 3, with no coding region annotated. Lineage: Eukaryota; Metazoa; Chordata; Lepidosauria; Squamata; Lacertidae. The transcript is spliced from 11 exons. The record is from RefSeq and is a predicted model, not a curated record.
UAGGGUUGGUCAGUCUGCUGCAGCUUUUGGCUGGUUCUCUGUGCAAGUCAUGGGUUGUUCAGCUCAGCAUGCGUGUUCCUGCAGUUUAUGUGAGAACAUACCAUUUCUUUAGGCUUAGUGAGAAGGAGGGAAGGUUGUGUCAGUCAAAAGGGCCAAGAUUACUUAAAUGUUUCACCUACCAAGAAGUUUUUGGUGUCUGGAUUUGCAAUGCCUCCCCUUACCCACUAGGCCCCAACCUGUCUCUGGAUGUUAAGGAAUCAGCGUUGGAAGCCAAGGUUGUAGGGCAAGAGGCCAAGGACCUGGCUGCAGAUGGCAAAGGUACAGAGUUGAGCAUGAUGAAUGUGAUGUCAGAUGGCAGGACCAUGGACGGGGAUCCCAGAGCUGUUGGGCUGGAUGCCAAGACUGCAAAUCGGGAUGGCAAAGUAACAGCUGGGGAUGCCGUUGCUACGGAAUCGGAUAUUAAGGCUGCAGAUUCAGAGGCCAGAGAACUGGAUACAGCUGACAACUACGGUGGACCACAGGCCACAGUGACAGAUAGGAGACAAACAGGUCCAGGGGGCAAGGAGGACGUGAUGCCAAGAGGCAGGUGCAAGAGCUCGAACGCCAGUGCCCCCACCCUGAAUGUUAAAGAUGCCGGUCAGCAAAACAAAGGCACGGUUGUGGAUGCCAAAGCAACAUCAGAAGUCACCAAGCCAGAUGAGAGCAACAAAGAUGACGAUGGUGACAUCAUUUCUCUCGACUGUGAAAUUCUUGGGUUUGGUCCUGAUACUGAUUUGCUGGGACCGGAUGCUGAGACUUACAUGCAUUUCAUGCGGCGCCACCACUGUUAUGAUGCCAUUCCCACCAGCUCCAAACUGGUAGUGUUUGACACAACCUUGCAGAUAAAGAAGGCCUUCUUAGCCAUGGUGGCCAAUGGGGUGCGAGCAGCCCCUCUCUGGGACAACAAGCAGCAGUGUUUUGUGGGUAUGUUGACUAUCACUGACUUCAUUAACAUCCUACAUCGCUACUACCGAUCACCUCUGGUUCAGAUAUAUGAGAUCGAGGAACACAAAAUUGAAACGUGGAGAGAGGUGUAUUUGCAAGGUUUCUUCAAACCCUUGGUGUGCAUCUCCCCAAAUGAUAGCCUAUUUGAUGCUGUUUAUUCCUUGAUUAAGCACAAGAUCCAUCGGCUGCCUGUUAUCGAGCCCAUCUCAGGGAACGUCCUACACAUUCUGACCCACAAACGUAUCCUCAAGUUCCUGCAUAUCUUCGGAGCCAUGCUUCCAAAGCCACGAUUCCUGCAGAAAACCAUCCUGGAACUAGGCAUUGGCACCUUCCGUGACGUUGCCAUGGUCCUGGAGUCAGCCCCUGUCUACACAGCCUUGGAGAUUUUUGUGGACCGCAGGGUCUCAGCAUUGCCUGUUGUUAAUGAAAAAGGGAGGGUAGUUGGCCUCUACUCUCGCUUUGAUGUGAUUCACUUGGCUGCCCAGAAGUCCUACAACAACCUGGACAUUACUGUGGGGGAAGCACUGAAGCAGCGCUCAGUCUGCCUGGAAGGGGUGCUCACCUGCCAUCCUUAUGAAACGAUGGAAGACAUUAUUGAUCGCAUCGCCAAGGAGCAGGUCCAUCGUCUGGUUCUGGUGGAUGAGAAGAAAACCCCGCGGGGGAUCGUGUCCCUCUCUGACAUUCUCCAAGCCCUGGUUCUCACGCCUGCAGGUAUCGAUGCCCUAAACUCUUAAGCCGCCUGACGCUCCAUCCUUCCUCCAUUUGUACCCUCCAUUUCCUCCGCUUCUCUCCAGCUCAGGCAUCGACCGGUAUUCAAUCUGAUGCCAUUCAAGGCCACACUUGCUACCCAGCACUUUGGGUUACCUCCAGGGCAUCUAUGACACAUGAGGGUAAGGUGGGGCUUUCCAGCCCAUGAAA